UACGUAGGGAGCAAGCGUUGUCCGGAAUUAUUGGGCGUAAAGAGCUCGUAGGCGGUUCGGCAAGUCGGGUGUGAAAAUCCAGGGCUCAACCCUGGGACGCCACUCGAUACUGCUGUGACUAGAGUCCGGUAGAGGAGCGUGGAAUUCCUGGUGUAGCGGUGAAAUGCGCAGAUAUCAGGAGGAACACCAGCGGCGAAGGCGGCGCUCUGGGCCGGUACUGACGCUGAGGAGCGAAAGCAUGGGGAGCAAACAGGAUUAGAAACCCCAGUAGUCC
This 274-nucleotide ribosomal RNA is filed under the name uncultured bacterium. RNAcentral's name for it is "partial 16S ribosomal RNA". It matches the Rfam family "Bacterial small subunit ribosomal RNA", at positions 524 to 796 of the family's 1533-position model. The record is from RNAcentral.